This 136-nucleotide small nuclear RNA is filed under the name Dasypus novemcinctus (nine-banded armadillo). RNAcentral describes it as "U4 spliceosomal RNA (ENSDNOG00000026185.1)". The stretch from base 15 to 136 matches the Rfam family "U4 spliceosomal RNA", at positions 20 to 138 of the family's 138-position model. Rfam says of the family: U4 small nuclear RNA (U4 snRNA) is a component of the major U2-dependent spliceosome. Lineage: Eukaryota; Metazoa; Chordata; Mammalia; Cingulata; Dasypodidae. The record is from RNAcentral.
AAAAUAUUACAUUAACCAUAGCCAAUGAGGUACAUCCGAGGCACAAUUAUUGCUAGUUGAAAACUUUUCCCAAUACCCCGCUGUGACAACUUGAAAUAUAGUCGGCAUUGGCAAUUUUUGACAGUCUCUUCGGAUA